GAACCGGCUACCUACUCAACCUUUUAAAAUUUUGAUUUUAUUAUCUAAUUUUUCAAUUUGUUUGAUUUGACUCGAUCAACAAUAUUUUACAGUACAAUUGACUGACUCAAAUAAAACAAACUGGAAAACUGGAUAGUAAAUUAAAAUUUUCAAAAAGUUGGAUAUCGGCAUCAAAAUGAUCCAUAAUUCAGAUAAGUUCUAUACAUUUUUGCCUAUUUAAACUCCACUUCAAUAAAUUAAACAAAAUUUUCAAAUUUAUUUAAUCUACAGUUUCACGUACAACAUUGCUUAAUUAAAAUA
RNAcentral lists this long non-coding RNA (300 nucleotides) under Ananas comosus (pineapple). RNAcentral's name for it is "long non-coding RNA (ACOM_LNC004723)". Lineage: Eukaryota; Viridiplantae; Streptophyta; Magnoliopsida; Poales; Bromeliaceae. The record is from RNAcentral.